AAUCAACGCUGGCGGCGUGCCUAACACAUGCAAGUCGAACGCGAAAGCCCCUUCGGGGUAAGGUAGAGUGGCGUCCGGGUGAGUAACACGUGGGUAAUCUGCCUUCGGGUUGGGGGAAGUAACCCACGGGAACGUUAGGGCGUAAUACCGCAUAAUGCAGCGGCACCUAAUGGUGAUUAGUUGUUAAAGCGGGGGAGUCGCAAGACCUCGCGCCUGAAGAGGAGCCUGCGGCAGAUUAGCAGUUGGUGAGGUAAUGGCUCACCAAGGCUUCGAUCUGUAGCUGGUCUGAGAGGACGGCCAGCCACACU
RNAcentral lists this ribosomal RNA (308 nucleotides) under uncultured bacterium. Its description in RNAcentral is "bacterial SSU rRNA". It matches the Rfam family "Bacterial small subunit ribosomal RNA", at positions 32 to 314 of the family's 1533-position model. The record is from RNAcentral.